This is a long non-coding RNA of Vicia villosa (hairy vetch), 2409 nucleotides long. RefSeq lists it as uncharacterized. The transcript is spliced from 5 exons. The record is from RefSeq and is a predicted model, not a curated record. Lineage: Eukaryota; Viridiplantae; Streptophyta; Magnoliopsida; Fabales; Fabaceae.
UUUUAAACACAAAUUAUAUUUUUUUCUUCAAAUUCGUUCUUCUUGUUCUUUCUCCCAACUUCCCAAUUCUUUCUCCCAACUUCCCAAUCGAAGAAAUCAAUUCGAAACCCUAAAUCCCUAAAUUCCUCCACUGUGAUGUCGCUCUCCUACUCCAACUUCUUCCUCGACGAUGAUCUCCUAUACAACGAGGAAACCUCCAGCAUCUUAUCCAGAGAUUUGCCGGCGGAAAGCUUCUCUUAUGUCGAUUUGUCUCCGCCGUCGGAGGAAGAGUUAUGCACAGGUCUCCGUGGUUAUCCCCAUCUUGAAACUUAAAAGGGCUACAAAGGUUGUAUUCUACUGUCAUUUUCCAGACUUGUUGCUGGCUCAACAUUCAACUUUCCUCCGGAGGAUGUACAGGAAACCAAACCAAUAGACUACGCAGAAGAAAUCACAACUGGUUUAACCUUGUAUCCCUUUUCUAUUUUUCUUUUAAGCACUAUUAUCUUCUCAUGUUUAUAUUGAAUCUUACAUCUUAUUAAGCAUUGCCGAAUUGCAUGAAUGGCCGAUUUGAUACUUGUUAACAGCAAAUGCACUGCAUCUACUUUUGCAAAUACUUUUAAGCAUCUAAAUGCUAAAGGAAUUUGACCAGUUGUCCUAUACCCAGCAGUCAACGUGGAUCAAUUCAAUGAACCCACUUCCUCUAAGUAAAUAACUUGCAUGUAGCUUAUUAUUAAAACCUUGUUUAUAGAGUCACAAUUUUGUGUUUUUUUAAUGCUUCUGUUGUAGGACAAACUUUCUUUCUAUUAACCGCUUUGAAAGAAAGAAGAACAUACAAUUAGCAAUAUCCGCUUCUGCUAUGCUUUACUCGCCCGACUAAGCUCUAAAACAUCGAGAUAUUACUAAUGCUUCUUUGACUGUUGCAGGUGAGCAUGUUUUUCUUUUGGCUUUGUACUUAUGAUCACAUUGAUAGAUAUUAUGGUGCCACUGCAUUAUAAAUUGUCAUGGAAGUGUCCAUCUCGAUGUUUGUGUCGGACUGAAUUUGGUACACCGUUGUCUUCAAGAUAUAAUCUAUUAAUGUUAACAAAAGUUAUAUUUGGUUUGUAGUUAAGUUUCACAAUUAUUCUAUACUCUAUUCCCACCAUUUCAAGAGACUUUGAUGUUUUGCAAAAUCUUCUCUAUCAUGAAAUUUUUGGGAAAAUUAUCUUGUGCCAUUUUUUGGUGCAAUCAUUUCCCAAUCAGAUGCAUUAGCAGGGCUUGUUUACAAAAGGAUCAAAUAUUCUGUGUUGUAAAUCAUGGGUCUUUAAUGAUUGUCACCAAGGUAAUUAAAGAGUUCAAAAAUCUAUUGUCAUAAAAUUUCCAAGUGGCUUUGAUAAACAGUUGAAGGAGAAUAUGGAGUACCUAGAAGAAGAGUUGAAAGAUUUAGCUGAAAAGGAAGAUCUUGCUCAACAGAUGAAAGGAAUGCUCUUCUUUCAGAAUGCCUGUGUGUCCUUUACACGCCAGAGGUAUGUGGAAUCUUGUUAAUUAUGAUUGUAGAAAAUUGAUAAAAUUUGAAAGCAGAAACAUAUUCUUUACAUAAUGCUACUUGAUACAAAAUAAGCACUUUGGCAUUGUUCCUUUGGAGGCAAUGGCAACUUAUAGACCUGUAAUUGUAUGUAAUAGUGGCGGCCCUGUGGAGUCUUUCAAGAAUGGUGUAACAGGUUUCCUUUGUGAUCCUUCGCCGCAAGAGUUUUCCUCGGCAAUAAGUUUAAUAAAAUUGUUCUUGCCUACCAAUUAGUAUUUUAAAAUUCUGCUUGUGUCAGUGUAUUGCCUAACCGACGCAUUAUGCUGUUUUUGUCUAUUGCAGAACUCUGAUGUUAAUGAAAUUUUACGAAAAACAUGCUUCUCAUCCGUCUUUGAUACAGAUUAAGCACUAACAAUACCAUCACAUGAUCAGAUUUUCUGGUUCGGAGAUUUGAACUAUCGGAUCAGCAUCUAAGCAACGAAAUGCGUGUUGGAUGCGUAUUUGAAGGAUAGAAAGAAGGGAUGAUAUAUUUCACAAAAGAAGGCAAGAAAAAAGAGCUCCUGCAUGGUAUGAUCGGAUAUUAUGGUUAGGAAAAGGAAUAAAGCAACUACAAUACGAACGUGCAGAAAUUAAGCUCUCGGAACGUGCUAAAUUCUACUAGUACUGAUGCAGUUCAUUCCCUAAAAAAGAUGGUCAAUUUUACUAGAACUAAAAUUAUAUAGGAGGAAGCCAAUGAGAUAGUGAUAAUAACAAGAAAUUGUAUAUAUAUAGGAAGAAGAUUUUGACAUUUUUUGUUUCUUUUUUCACAUUAAAAACCAUUAUUCAAUUUUGGCUCCAUCAUUAGUAUUGUGUUUUGGUUGUUUUGUUAUAAUUGUAACUUGUAACAAUAGACAAGUUCUAUGUAACUUAAUAUAUUGAUUUUUGUGGAA